AUCGCUUCUCGGCCUUUUGGCUAAGAUCAAGUGUAGUAUCUGUUCUUAUCAGUUCCAGCCGGCGAGGAAAAAGGAAUUGGGGACCAUUC
Molecule: small nuclear RNA, 89 nt
Gene: U2
Rfam family: U2 spliceosomal RNA
About the family: U2 is a small nuclear RNA (snRNA) component of the spliceosome (involved in pre-mRNA splicing). Complementary binding between U2 snRNA (in an area lying towards the 5' end but 3' to hairpin I) and the branchpoint sequence (BPS) of the intron results the bulging out of an unpaired adenosine, on the BPS, which initiates a nucleophilic attack at the intronic 5' splice site, thus starting the first of two transesterification reactions that mediate splicing.
Source: Ensembl